AAACCCUCAAGCCCAGCUUGGUGUUGGGUGCUUGUCCCGCCUCCCGCGCGGCGACUCACCUCAAAAUCAGUGGCAGCCUGCAUCCGCCGGCCGUGAGCGCAGCACAGUCGCGCCCUAGGCCCCGGCGGAUCGGCUCUCCAGAAGCCCCUUCUACCAC
Molecule: unclassified non-coding RNA, 157 nt
Filed under: uncultured Roussoella
Lineage: Eukaryota; Fungi; Ascomycota; Dothideomycetes; Pleosporales; Thyridariaceae
Description: sequence contains ITS2
Source: RNAcentral